Macaca fascicularis (crab-eating macaque) is the source of this 117-nucleotide unclassified non-coding RNA. It matches the Rfam family "Metazoan signal recognition particle RNA". From Rfam's summary of the family: The signal recognition particle (SRP) is a universally conserved ribonucleoprotein. It is involved in the co-translational targeting of proteins to membranes. The eukaryotic SRP consists of a 300-nucleotide 7S RNA and six proteins: SRPs 72, 68, 54, 19, 14, and 9. The record is from Ensembl. Lineage: Eukaryota; Metazoa; Chordata; Mammalia; Primates; Cercopithecidae.
GCUGGGCGUGUUGGCUCACGCCUGUAAUCCCAGCACUUUGGGAGGCUGAGGUGGGUGGAUCACUUGAGGUCAGGAGUUCAAGACCAGCCUGACCAACAGGGUGAAACCCCGUCUCUA